CCUACGGGAGGCAGCAGUGGGGGAUAUUGCACAAUGGGGGAAACCCUGAUGCAGCGAAGCCGCGUGAGUGAAGAAGUAUUUCGGUAUGUAAAGCUCUAUCAGCAGGGAAGAAAAAAGACGGUACCUGACUAAGAAGCACCGGCUAACUACGUGCCAGCAGCCGCGGUAAUACGUAGGGGGCAAGCGUUAUCCGGAUUUACUGGGUGUAAGGGGAGCGUAGACGGCAAUACAAGUCGGAAGUGAAAUAGCCGGGCUCAACCUGGGAACGGCUUUGGAAACUGUAUGGCUGGAGUGCUGGAGAGGUAAGCGGAAUUCCUAGUGUAGCGGUGAAAUGCGUAGAUAUUAGGAGGAACACCAGUGGCGAAGGCGGCUUACUGGACAGUAACUGACGUUGAGGCUCGAAAGCGUGGGGAGCAAACAGGAUUAGAUACCCUUGUAGUC
This 441-nucleotide ribosomal RNA is filed under the name uncultured bacterium. Its description in RNAcentral is "partial 16S ribosomal RNA". It matches the Rfam family "Bacterial small subunit ribosomal RNA", at positions 338 to 795 of the family's 1533-position model. The record is from RNAcentral.